Molecule: ribosomal RNA, 402 nt
Filed under: uncultured bacterium
Lineage: Bacteria
Description: bacterial SSU rRNA
Rfam family: Bacterial small subunit ribosomal RNA
Source: RNAcentral
UGGGGAAUCUUGGACAAUGGGCGAAAGCCUGAUCCAGCCAUGCCGCGUGAGUGAAGAAGGCCCUAGGGUUGUAAAGCUCUUUCAGCGGGGAAGAUAAUGACGGUACCCGCAGAAGAAGCCCCGGCUAACUUCGUGCCAGCAGCCGCGGUAAUACGAAGGGGGCUAGCGUUGUUCGGAAUUACUGGGCGUAAAGCGCGCGUAGGCGGACUGGCCAGUCAGGGGUGAAAGCCCGGGGCUUAACCUCGGAACUGCCCUUGAUACUGCCAGUCUAGAGUCCGGCAGAGGUGAGUGGAAUUCCUAGUGUAGAGGUGAAAUUCGUAGAUAUUAGGAAGAACACCAGUGGCGAAGGCGGCUCACUGGGCCGAGACUGACGCUGAGGCGCGAAAGCGUGGGGAGCAAACA